RNAcentral lists this unclassified non-coding RNA (300 nucleotides) under uncultured Taphrina. Its description in RNAcentral is "sequence contains 5.8S rRNA gene, ITS2". The stretch from base 1 to 71 matches the Rfam family "5.8S ribosomal RNA", at positions 84 to 154 of the family's 154-position model. Lineage: Eukaryota; Fungi; Ascomycota; Taphrinomycetes; Taphrinales. The record is from RNAcentral.
GUGAGUCAUCGAAUCUUUGAACGCACAUUGCGCCCUCUGGUAUUCCGGAGGGCAUGCCUGUUUGAGUGUCAUUAAUCUCUCACAAAACCUUCUGGUUUCUGUUGAUGUUGGGAGUUGCGUUUCCUUGUGAGACGCUCUCCUCAAAUGCAUUGGUGCGGCCUGCCGCCCGGUUACACAACGUUCUAGGUUCGUCCAACUCGUUGCUAAAUCGGUGCACCAUUUGGUGCUGCACCUAAAGCCCGCCUUGUGCCUUGUGCUCUUGGCUUAUCUUAUUUAUUGACCUCAGAUCAGGUAGGAAUA